UGGGGAAUAUUGCACAAUGGGCGCAAGCCUGAUGCAGCCAUGCCGCGUGUAUGAAGAAGGCCUUCGGGUUGUAAAGUACUUUCAGCGGGGAGGAAGGGAGUAAAGUUAAUACCUUUACUCAUUGACGUUACCCGCAGAAGAAGCACCGGCUAACUCCGUGCCAGCAGCCGCGGUAAUACGGAGGGUGCAAGCAUUAAUCGGAAUUACUGGGCGUAAAGCGCACGCAGGCGGUUUGUUAAGUCAGAUGUGAAAUCCCCGGGCUCAACCUGGGAACUGCAUCUGAUACUGGCAAGCUUGAGUCUCGUAGAGGGGGGUAGAAUUCCAGGGGUAGCGGUGAAAUGCGUAGAGAUCGGGAGGAAUACCGGUGGCGAAGGCGGCCCCCUGGACGAAGACUGACGCUCAGGUGCGAAAGCGUGGGGAGCAAACAGG
This 429-nucleotide ribosomal RNA is filed under the name Chloroflexota bacterium. RNAcentral's name for it is "Chloroflexi bacterium partial 16S ribosomal RNA". It matches the Rfam family "Bacterial small subunit ribosomal RNA", at positions 355 to 776 of the family's 1533-position model. Lineage: Bacteria; Bacillati; Chloroflexota. The record is from RNAcentral.